RNAcentral lists this transfer RNA (68 nucleotides) under Marmota monax (woodchuck). RNAcentral describes it as "tRNA.Ala". The record is from RNAcentral. Lineage: Eukaryota; Metazoa; Chordata; Mammalia; Rodentia; Sciuridae.
GCUGUGGCUCAUCGGUAGUGCACUUGCCUGGCAUGUGUGAGGCACUGGGUUCGAUUCUCAGCAUUGCA